This 460-nucleotide ribosomal RNA is filed under the name uncultured bacterium. RNAcentral's name for it is "partial 16S ribosomal RNA". It matches the Rfam family "Bacterial small subunit ribosomal RNA", at positions 338 to 795 of the family's 1533-position model. The record is from RNAcentral.
CCUACGGGAGGCAGCAGUGAGGAAUAUUGGUCAAUGGACGCAAGGCUGAACCAGCCAAGUCGCGUGCAGGAAGACGGCCCUAUGAGUUGUAAACCGCUUUUGUACGAGGGUAAACGCAGAUACGCGUCUCUGUCUGAAAGUAUCGUACGAAUAAGGAUCGGCUAACUCCGUGCCAGCAGCCGCGGUAAUACGGAGGAUUCAAGCGUUAUCCGGAUUUAUUGGGUUUAAAGGGUGCGUAGGCGGUCGGAUAAGUUAGAGGUUAAAUCCCGAGGCUCAACCUCCGAACUGCCUUUGAUAUUGUUCGUCUUGAGUGUAGGUGCGGUAGGCGGAAUGUAUGGUGUAGCGGUGAAAUGCAUAGAGAUCAUACAGAACACCGAUUGCGAAGGCAGCUUACCGAGCUACUUCUGACGUUGAGGCACGAAAGCGUGGGGAGUAAACAGGAUUAGAUACCCUAGUAGUC